RNAcentral lists this long non-coding RNA (4959 nucleotides) under Homo sapiens (human). Its description in RNAcentral is "non-protein coding lnc-THOC2-8:1". The record is from RNAcentral. Lineage: Eukaryota; Metazoa; Chordata; Mammalia; Primates; Hominidae.
AGUUGCUUCCUGGGUGCUUACCACUGGUCGGUUUGCGGGCAGUCCGCUUUGUAGGAGCCGUGGUACAGAGACCUCCUUACUUACCCCCCUUCUCCUUCGGCUGGAGCUCGGCGAGCGAGAGGCGGCGCUGGCGUUGGAGAGCGACGGCGGCGCGGCGGCGCCUGCGAACACCAGGGAAGCAGCCUCUAACGUUUGAGGGUCAAUCCAGAUGGAGAGAAGAUAGAGGAGAAAGAGCCGAAUGUGACCCAACCAUAGGUCAUCUCUUGACUGGCAAACUAACUUUUCCAUCAGGAUCCUGAGGGAUAGAGAGGGAAAGAGAGGAGCAGAAGUGCAACCAUUGUCUCUGAAGAAGAAAAGUUUUGGCUUGCCUGUCUGUUGGUCUGUGGUUGGGAAACACUGUUCUUCACCUUAAGAUGCCCAUGGGAUCUUGGUCGUACAAGAGCAACAUGGCACAUGCUGAAUAUUUAGCCCAGCAUUAGGAAGACAUGGAUCCAAAAGUAUUGAAAAAAUGACCAGUGUGUGUAAAGGAGACUCCGAGAUUGACUACCAGACUUCUAGAAUGAUGUAACCAUACCUACAUAGAUUGGCUCAACAUAGGCAAACAUUAUUGGAGUCAUGGACAAGCACAGUGCAUACAACAUUUUGAAAAUUGAGGCCAGACGCUCCCUAUCAUCUCAGCAAAGACACUAAUUCAGCAGAGCUGGCCAGCGAAUCUUCGACAGGAAUUGAGGAUCUGAGCAACUGGGAAAAAAGGGAUGAAUGGACAUACAAAUAAGAGGAGAAGGAAAGGGGAAAGAGAUGAAGGAAGAGGAGAAGGAAAGGGGAAAGAGAUGAAGGAAGAAAAGAAGGAAAGAAGAAAGGAAGGAAGGAAAACAGAAAGGAAGGAAAGAAGGAGAGCAAAAUAUUUUCUGCCUAUCGCCAACUGUUCUUCAGAGAUCCCAGGCUCUUCACCACUCUGGCCAUCCUUCUCUGGAUGUGUUCCAGUUUGUCAAAUGUCACCCUUAAAGUUUGGCGUCCAGGAUUGAGCACCACACUAUUCCUGAUCUACCUUGCUCUGUGUCCUGAGAGGCUGGCUUGUAUGGCUCUCAUUAAGGAGUUCCCUUGCCUUCCAACUUCUGGAUGGGUUCAGCUAGCAGGAGGUCAGAAAUCAGGAGGAGAAUGUGGGUCUUUAUUUCCCCACUUUCCCCUUUGCUAGUUUGCCAUGAGUUGGCGAUGCCCGUGUUUCUCCAACUAAGGUCACAACUCCUGUCAGAUGGCCCUCCGCUACAGCUACAGCCACAAAAUUGGAUUUAAAGGAGGCACCAAUUCCAUGUGCUGAAGGGAAACCCACCCAUCCCAAGGUGGCAACACUACCCACUGCAGGAUUAAGGGUGGGAUAACAACAAGAAAACCUGGAGGAAUGGAGCAUAUGUUUCCUUGGACUUUUGUUAAAUUACCAUAUUGGAAAGAAAAUCACCUGAGAGAGCUAUCUCUUCCCAGCUUUGCUUAGGCCUGGUAGAAGAACAUUUAGGGUGUUUCUUUCAGGAGAAGCUACCAGAUACUAGAGAAGUAGGUACAGUGGGGGAUAGACUGCACAGAGAAUGCAGCCAUCUUUACCUGAGCCCCACUCAUUCCAAGAAUGAUUUCUUACCUAAUGAUCAUGCGUUCAUUCAACAGGAUAUAAUAAAUCCCUAUUCUUUGCCAAAAACUAUCUAACUUAAGGCAACAUAUUAGGGGAAAUUCAAAAGUAGCAUGAGAGAAAUGAGCAUCUACCUUGAGAAAAUUCCGGACAUCUACAAGAAAUUAUGAGAUUGGAAAGGCUAAGUUGAAGGAUUUGUGUAGCAACCAAUGACAGAGUUCAAGAGAAAAGAAAGUACAAGUAAAUUGGUGUUGACAGGGACAGCUUCCUUGUGAAUUCAGGUGGUGUGGGUAUGGGUAGCAGAAAUCAUCACAUGGUAUACAAUGAAAUGAUUACUGUGUGUAGCUUUGUUAAGAGAAAUUAUUUUGUUUCAAUGUAAUUUUAAACAUUCUUAAUAAAAAUAGAAUUCUGGUUCCUUUAAGAAAGGUAUAGCUAUAUAAUAGGUUAUUAAAAACCGCAAAGUCUCUAGUGGGAAGGGCAAUAACCUCUUCGAAGGAAAAUAAAACAUUGGCUUUAAAAAGGACAUUGGGGAGGGAUUGGAUAAAAGUGAAUGAAUUGGAAUUUUAUACAGUUGUGGAUUGUUUAGUAACCUUUUAUUGAUUGGAGCAAAAGCAAAGAAUCAUGUAGAAAGAAAUGUAGUAGGUGACCCUGCUUGGUUUUUUUCUUUUCUUUUUUUUUGAUUUUUGAUAAAGUGUACUAAAGAGUAAAUUGAAAGAGUAAGAGGACUUGAUGCCUUCUCACUCAGAGAAUCAGGAAAUUAGGUAGCUAUUUCAAAUGUAUCAAGCACUUACUAUGUGUCAAACACUGUGCCGAGUGCCUUGUAUACACUAUUUCAUUCAAAGUCCCUAGUAGUCCUGUAAGGAAAGACUUCCUAUUGGACCUCUACAGUUAGACCCAAGGUAAUUCCAUUCAACUAGUGCCAGCCUCAGAUAUGUAGGCACAGUAUCUGGGGAUACUCAUUCUCAGUGGGGCUGGCAUUGCAAAUGAGACUUAAGAGAAGAAUGGCACAUUUGCAAUAUAUGUUUAGGCUGGGAACAGUGAGAUGAGAGGCCAAAAAGAUGGCUUACAGUAGAGAGGCUUAAGUGCCAAGUGUGUGGGUUUCAGUUAUUUAUUUUCUUUUUUAUUUUCUGGGAUUAAAUAAUGGAGUAUACAUUUAGUUGGUGGUCAAAAAGCACAGUUAGCAUAUUAGGACUCUUGUAAUAAUUAGUUUUCCUCAGGAAAAAGGGGAAAGGGUUAUUUUCUCAUAUUUGAUUCUGUACAUUAGGCAAAAUAGUGGGAAGUGGAGGAGGAGGUUAUGAAGCUCUUGAAGGUCUUGCUGAAAACAUUUUAAAAUGGUUUUACCAACAUUCAUUUUUUCCAUUCAUUUAUUCUCUUACUUGACAAAUAUUAGCUGAGCACCUAUAAUGUGCUAGGCUUUAUAUUAGUUGCUGGGUUUAUGACAAAGUUUGAGAUACAGUUCCUGACCUAAAGUAUUUCAGAGAUGAAUUACAAUACAGCAAGUAUUUUGAUGAGAUGAGCAAAAGAAGGGGUGGGAGACUGAACAGAGGCUCAGUCCAGUCUCAGGGUUUAGUGGCAUCUCAACUUUACAACUAAGAAUCCUAUCAGUGAGAAAAAUAGAAGCUCAAUUUGAUUUUUUGUCAUGCCCUACUUCCUUUCUGAGCACUCCGUCUCUCCAGGAUAUAUGAUUUGAAAGUCUAUUAUUUCAAGAACAAGGGCAUUUGUCAGCAUUUAUGUGCCUCAGGGUCAGUCAGUAGUAGCAGCAGAGGGAAGGCCUUUAAGAGGGCUAAGUGCUACAUGUGCAAAGAUAGGGUUAAAAGAAUUCUGUUCAGAUAUCUCGUCUUCAGAGAUCAAUGCCCAAGAAUAGCCAGAAAGAAUAUUAAGUCUUAGAAGUAACUUCCUAUGAAUGACAGAUGUGGUGGCAGAUUGCAUCCCACUGGGAAAACCAACAUCAGCUACUCAGAAGAGGGAGCUUUUAAGGUUUGAGAUAUCGUUUCUGCACAUUGCAUAGGGCAGAAAACUGCCUUCUCUGAAUGGUAUGUCUCAUGCUAACAAUCGUAGCAAGUCCUAAUUCAAACAUUUUAGGCAAGGAAAGGAAGCAAAUUAACAUGUAUUGAUUGCCUACUGUGCUGUUUUCACAUGUAAACUCACAAUAAUCCUGGGAGAUAGUAAUCAAAAGUCUCUUUUUAUAGAUAAGAACAUCAGACUCAGAGAAAUUAAAUAUCUUAGUUGGGGUCGUGCAACUAUAAGAUGGCAAAGAUUUGAAUUCAGCUCCAAAUUCCAACAGACAGCAAUAAAGUUAUAUUCAAAGGGAGAUGUGUUUGGAGGGUGGACACACUUACGUGUUGAAAAUGUUUGAUUUCACUAUUCUGUUUUCCUUGCCUCCAAAGUAGUUAUGGUGCCCUGGGUAAUAGCUUGUGGGUGCUUAGGGUUAAUCACCAUAAAUUCCCUUUACAAAGAGCUGUCUUGAUGGAUUUGCCACUCUUGUCAAACUCUUGUGGGCACAAGCUAAUCAGGUCAUGAACACAGUAGUCAAGACCAGAGCCAAACAGAAACUUGUCAAAAAUCUUAACAUGACUGAAGCACAUUCACAGUGGAAACAUUUGAGGAAUAUUCACAACUGUUGAAGCUCCAGUUCAGUGUAGUUCCCAGCACUCUUUAUUUUCACUGCUACGCCUACAUUUUCAAUGUGUUUUGAAACUAUUUUAAAUAGGCCAUGUUACUGGAGUGGAAAAGAUUUUAAGGAAAAGGCUAUGCAUAAGAGUGACUUGCUGACAGCCCAUUAUGAGGCUUCUGCUGAAAGUCUACCCUGAAUUGACAGUAGAGAUAAAAAUCUAGAGUAACCUGGCCAGACUGAAACAUUCCCUUAAUGGCCCUUGAAACGAGUUUUGGGGAAAAACAAAAGUCCAAACUGUCAUACAUAGAAAGGUUGGUUGGGUCGUUUUUGUCUUUUUUUAAGUAAGAAGAAGGGACAGUGAAAAUGAGGUUUCAAGAUUGUUUGCCUCUGUUUCCACAAUUCUCUUUUCAGAUGGAUUAUUUAUUUUCCCUUCUGUAAAGAGAGACUACUUCUUGAUGCCUCAGUGUAUAUACACAGCCAUAUUUAUGACUUUUUCAUAUGGUGACUGAUAAUUACCCACUCUCAGUCCAUGUUCAGUUUUUUGAGUGGUAGUGUCAAGAAUUAGUCACAGACACAAUGGCUGCUGAUUCAGAUUGUGUGUCUUCUCUAUGUUAUAAAUUAUAAUCCCAUUUAUCCUGUACAUCACUUGACACCAGAGCAAGGCAAGAUAUUUGGGAGGACCCAAGUGAGUCUUUCAGAAUAAAAGAUUUGCCUUAAUAAUAGAAAU